This 723-nucleotide transfer RNA is filed under the name uncultured marine bacterium. Its description in RNAcentral is "16S-23S ribosomal RNA intergenic spacer". The stretch from base 161 to 235 matches the Rfam family "tRNA". The record is from RNAcentral.
UCUAAGGAUGUUCCUAGCCAUUGAUGUUCGCAUUGAUCGUGGAACACUUAGCAAGAUGCGCAAACAAAGCGCAUCAACAUCAGGGCAUUCGCAAGGAUGACCCUUGAGCCGGGCCGUCCUCGUAUCUCUUCAGUUUCAGUACACGGGCUACCGCCCGUAUGGGUCGGUAGCUCAGGUGGUUAGAGCGCACGCUCUGAUAAGCGUGAGGUCGGAGGUUCAAGUCCUCCUCGACCCNNNNNNNNNNNNNNNNNNNNNNNNNACCAUGAAAUUAAUUUACCUUAUAUUUAGAUUGGCAGAAUAUAUCUUCAAGCAUUUUUGAAUGUUUGGACGUCUGUUCUGCAGACGAAUUGACAUCGUAUAGAGAGAUACAAAUAUCAACACUGUUUGAUCGCGCCGAGUGUGGCGAUGAUCUCGGUUUGGUUCUAUUUUGUUGUUUAGUAGUCGAGAGGCGAAGGGCAUUAUACAAGAUGGAAGGCGACUGAUUGGAUGCUUCCUCGUCCGGUUUGUUGUAUCCCUGCUGAAACGAACGGAGUUGUCCAAGUCAAGUACACUAACCAGAGUAGCAUCGUUCAUAUCCCGCAUGGAUUAUGGACAUUGGUGACUACUCAAUUGUCAGCAUGCCACAAACAUGCUGGCGGGAAAAAGUAUACUUUUGAUUCUAGAAUAAGACUGCAUUUAGUUACCAGCUGUGCGGUCGUGUUAGACGCAAGUCUUUCUUUUUCU